AUUGAACGCUGGCGGCAUGCUUUACACAUGCAAGUCGAACGGCAGCGCGGGCUUCGGCCUGGCGGCGAGUGGCGAACGGGUGAGUAAUGCAUCGGAACGUGCCCAGUAGUGGGGGAUAGCCCGGCGAAAGCCGGAUUAAUACCGCAUACGACCUGAGGGUGAAAGCGGGGGACCGAAAGGCCUCGCGCUAUUGGAGCGGCCGAUGUCGGAUUAGCUAGUUGGUGGGGUAAAGGCUUACCAAGGCGACGAUCCGUAGCUGGUCUGAGAGGACGACCAGCCACACUGGGACUGAGACACGGCCCAGACUGCUACGGGAGGCAGCAGUGGGGAAUUUUGGACAAUGGGGGCAACCCUGAUCCAGCCAUGCCGCGUGCGGGAAGAAGGCCUUCGGGUUGUAAACCGCUUUUGUUCGGGAAGAAAUCCUCUGGGCUAAUACCCCGGGGGGAUGACGGUACCGGAAGAAUAAGCACCGGCUAACUACGUG
Molecule: ribosomal RNA, 484 nt
Filed under: uncultured bacterium
Lineage: Bacteria
Description: partial 16S ribosomal RNA
Rfam family: Bacterial small subunit ribosomal RNA
Source: RNAcentral